RNAcentral lists this ribosomal RNA (97 nucleotides) under Homalozoon vermiculare. Its description in RNAcentral is "partial internal transcibed spacer 1". Lineage: Eukaryota; Ciliophora; Litostomatea; Haptorida; Homalozoonidae. The record is from RNAcentral.
AUUAACAAAACAAUGAACUUAUAACGAACUGACUGUAGCAGGAAACUGCUCUCUGAACUUGCUCAAACAAACCAUAACUAAAGUUGGUUGAUAAAAU